Molecule: unclassified non-coding RNA, 21 nt
Filed under: Mus musculus (house mouse)
Lineage: Eukaryota; Metazoa; Chordata; Mammalia; Rodentia; Muridae
Description: oocyte_clustered_small_RNA1790
Source: RNAcentral
UUGUAACAGCAUGGAAAUGAG